Molecule: transfer RNA, 71 nt
Filed under: Marmota monax (woodchuck)
Lineage: Eukaryota; Metazoa; Chordata; Mammalia; Rodentia; Sciuridae
Description: tRNA.Ala
Rfam family: tRNA
About the family: Transfer RNA (tRNA) molecules are approximately 80 nucleotides in length.
Source: RNAcentral
GGGGUUGUGGCUCAGCAGUAGAGGGCUCACUUAGCACGUGUGAGACCCUGGGUUCGAUUCUCAGCACCACA